AUCCAGCUGACGAGUCAGAAAUAGGACGAAACGAGCUUCCUGGAU
Schistosoma mansoni is the source of this 45-nucleotide non-coding RNA. Lineage: Eukaryota; Metazoa; Platyhelminthes; Trematoda; Strigeidida; Schistosomatidae. The record is from Rfam.